GAUGAACGCUGGCGGCGUGCUUAACACAUGCAAGUCGAACGGAAAGGCUCCUGCUUGCAGGGGUACUCGAGUGGCGAACGGGUGAGUAACGCGUGGGUGAUCUGCCCUGCACUUCGGGAUAAGCCUGGGAAACUGGGUCUAAUACCGGAUAGGACGAUGGUUUGGAUGCCAUUGUGGAAAGUUUUUCGGUGUGGGAUGAGCUCGCGGCCUAUUAGCUUGUUGGUGGGGUAAUGGCCUACCAAGGCGUCGACCGGUAGCCGGCCUGGGAGGGUGUACGGCCACAUUGGUACUGAGGGAGGGCCCAGACUCCUACGGGAGGCAGCAGUGGGGAAUAUUGCACAAUGGGCGCAAGCCUGAUGCAGCGACGCCGCGUGGGGGAUGACGGCCUUCGGGUUGUAAACUCCUUUCGUCAGGGACGAAGCGAAAGUGACGGUACCUGGAUAAGAAGCACCGGCUAACUACGUG
Molecule: ribosomal RNA, 465 nt
Filed under: uncultured bacterium
Lineage: Bacteria
Description: partial 16S ribosomal RNA
Rfam family: Bacterial small subunit ribosomal RNA
Source: RNAcentral